GCUCAGAGUAUAAGCCAAUGGAGCUUGGAAGGCUUCCGCAGCUUCCUGUUCAUCAUACGUGGUGUUCUUAAGACCUUGAGUGUGGCUCGUCAGGCGUAGCAUUGAGUUUGCCAGGUCUAGCUGUCGUGCGGGGGGUUCGGCCUGGAGGACUUCGGUUUCGGCCGGAGGGCUCUUCGGGUCGUCCCCUUUUGAAUGGACGUUCAGAACCUCUUGUGUCUAAUGCGGUUAUGCCCACCACAGCACGUUGUGAGGUCACCCACAGGCUCAAACUGCCGAUCGCGUAUCACGGACGAUGGCAACGAUGCGUUGUUGAUGAUGGCUCGAGAGAGACUUCACUCACACGCGUGUCUAGUCCUGGGUCGGGCGGCGACCGAGAUAAACCUGGUAUGAUCCUCUAGCGACGAGCUGCUUUCUGGCCAGACCGACGCCCGGGCGUUUCCACUGUGCCGGAAGCGCCAACCCCAGGCGGUGUGAACCCAGCUGCAUUAUGCAAGGUCUCUCAGCCGGGCGUUGGUCUGAGUGGUGUUAAGUCCAGCACCAUCGGUCACGUCUCGAAACACGGGCCAAGGAGUAUAGCAUGUGUGCAAGUCUAAGGGUCUCACAAAACCCGAAGGCGAAGUGAAAGCAAGACUGUGGCGGGGGAGCUACGGCAAACCCGCCGGCCUAGUGACGCUUGCGUCGCUGGCUUUUAGCAGAGCUGAUCCUGUUUUCUCGGUUAAUUCUUGGUGCAGGCGCAAGCUCCGGGCUCACGUACAACACUGGUCACGCCUCGCG
RNAcentral lists this ribosomal RNA (774 nucleotides) under Niphargus poianoi. Its description in RNAcentral is "partial 28S ribosomal RNA". Lineage: Eukaryota; Metazoa; Arthropoda; Malacostraca; Amphipoda; Niphargidae. The record is from RNAcentral.